This 74-nucleotide transfer RNA is filed under the name Pseudomonadales bacterium. Its description in RNAcentral is "tRNA-Gln". It matches the Rfam family "tRNA". From Rfam's summary of the family: Transfer RNA (tRNA) molecules are approximately 80 nucleotides in length. Their secondary structure includes four short double-helical elements and three loops (D, anti-codon, and T loops). Lineage: Bacteria; Pseudomonadati; Pseudomonadota; Gammaproteobacteria; Pseudomonadales. RNAcentral also lists the same sequence under 6 other names. The record is from RNAcentral.
UGUCCGAUGGUGUAAUGGUAGCACAAGGCCCUUUGGAGGCCUUUGUCAUGGUUCGAAUCCAUGUCGGACAGCCA